AGCGAACGCUGGCGGCAGGCCUAACACAUGCAAGUCGAACGAACUCUUCGGAGUUAGUGGCGGACGGGUGAGUAACACGUGGGAACGUGCCUUUUGGUUCGGAAUAACUCAGGGAAACUUGUGCUAAUACCGAAUGUGCCCUUCGGGGGAAAGAUUUAUCGCCAUUAGAGCGGCCCGCGUCUGAUUAGCUAGUUGGUGAGGUAACGGCUCACCAAGGCGACGAUCAGUAGCUGGUCUGAGAGGAUGACCAGCCACACUGGGACUGAGACACGGCCCAGACUCCUACGGGAGGCAGCAGUGGGGAAUCUUGCGCAAUGGGCGAAAGGCUGACGCAGCCAUGCCGCGUGAAUGAUGAAGGUCCUAGGAUUGUAAAAUUCUUUCACCGGGGACGAUAAUGACGGUACCCGGAGAAGAAGCCCCGGCUAACUUCGUG
Molecule: ribosomal RNA, 433 nt
Filed under: uncultured bacterium
Lineage: Bacteria
Description: partial 16S ribosomal RNA
Rfam family: Bacterial small subunit ribosomal RNA
Source: RNAcentral